UGGGGAAUAUUGCGCAAUGGGCGAAAGCCUGACGCAGCGACGCCGCGUGAGGGAUGAAGGUUUUCGGAUCGUAAACCUCUUUCAGAAGGGAAGAAACCGCACUGUGCUAAUCAGCAGUGCCUUGACGGUACCUUCAAAGGAAGCACCGGCUAACUCCGUGCCAGCAGCCGCGGUAAUACAGAGGGUGCAAGCGUUAAUCGGAAUUACUGGGCGUAAAGCGCACGUAGGCUGCUUUGUAAGUCAGGGGUGAAAUCCCACGGCUCAACCGUGGAACUGCCUUUGAUACUGCUUAGCUUGAAUCCGGGAGAGGGUGGCGGAAUUCCAGGUGUAGGAGUGAAAUCCGUAGAUAUCUGGAGGAACAUCAGUGGCGAAGGCGGCCACCUGGACCGGUAUUGACGCUGAGGUGCGAAAGCGUGGGGAGCAAACAGG
Molecule: ribosomal RNA, 429 nt
Filed under: Fusobacteriota bacterium
Lineage: Bacteria; Fusobacteriati; Fusobacteriota
Description: Fusobacteria bacterium partial 16S ribosomal RNA
Rfam family: Bacterial small subunit ribosomal RNA
Source: RNAcentral